Molecule: ribosomal RNA, 390 nt
Filed under: Fridericia paroniana
Lineage: Eukaryota; Metazoa; Annelida; Clitellata; Enchytraeida; Enchytraeidae
Description: partial 16S ribosomal RNA
Rfam family: Bacterial large subunit ribosomal RNA
Source: RNAcentral
UGAACACCGAUAGAAAGUAAUCUCCUGCCCAGUGAACUAUUUUAAACGGCCGCGGUAUCCUAACCGUGCAAAGGUAGCAUAAUAACUUGCCUAUUAAUUGUAGGCUAGCAUGAACGGGGUAACGAAAUAAGACCUUUCUUUUAUAAACCUAUAAAAACUAAUAUUAAAGUGAAGAAGCUUAAAUAACAUUAAAGGACAAGAAGACCCUAUAGAGCUUUAAAUUAAAACUACACCAUAUAAUACAUUUCGGUUGGGGCAACCAAGGAUAAAUCAACCUCUUAUAAAUAAGAUAAACACAUCAUACCAAUGAUCCUAACAUAGAUCACCGAACUAAGCUACCUUAGGGAUAACAGGCUAAUCCUAUUAAAGAGCUCUUAUCAACAAUAGGGA